CAAUUUAAACAACGAAGAGUUUGAUCCUGGCUCAGGAUGAACGCUAGCGACAGGCUUAACACAUGCAAGUCGAGGGGCAGCACAGGUAGCAAUACCGGGUGGCGACCGGCGCACGGGUGAGUAACGCGUAUGCAACUUACCUAUCAGAGGGGGAUAACCCGGCGAAAGUCGGACUAAUACCGCAUGAAGCAGGGGCCCCGCAUGGGGAUAUUUGCUAAAGAUUCAUCGCUGAUAGAUAGGCAUGCGUUCCAUUAGGCAGUUGGCGGGGUAACGGCCCACCAAACCGACGAUGGAUAGGGGUUCUGAGAGGAAGGUCCCCCACAUUGGUACUGAGACACGGACCAAACUCCUACGGGAGGCAGCAGUGAGGAAUAUUGGUCAAUGGGCGUAAGCCUGAACCAGCCAAGUCGCGUGAGGGAUGAAGGUUCUAUGGAUCGUAAACCUCUUUUAUAAGGGAAUAAAGUGCGGGACGUGUCCCGUUUUGUAUGUACCUUAUGAAUAAGGAUCGGCUAACUCCGUGCCAGCAGCCGCGGUAAUACGGAGGAUCCGAGCGUUAUCCGGAUUUAUUG
RNAcentral lists this ribosomal RNA (569 nucleotides) under Phocaeicola dorei. Its description in RNAcentral is "bacterial SSU rRNA". It matches the Rfam family "Bacterial small subunit ribosomal RNA", at positions 1 to 556 of the family's 1533-position model. The record is from RNAcentral. Lineage: Bacteria; Pseudomonadati; Bacteroidota; Bacteroidia; Bacteroidales; Bacteroidaceae.